Molecule: ribosomal RNA, 465 nt
Filed under: Vreelandella stevensii
Lineage: Bacteria; Pseudomonadati; Pseudomonadota; Gammaproteobacteria; Oceanospirillales; Halomonadaceae
Description: partial 16S ribosomal RNA
Rfam family: Bacterial small subunit ribosomal RNA
Source: RNAcentral
CCUACGGGGGGCAGCAGUGGGGAAUAUUGGACAAUGGGCGAAAGCCUGAUCCAGCCAUGCCGCGUGUGUGAAGAAGGCCUUCGGGUUGUAAAGCACUUUCAGUGGGGAAGAAAGCCUUGGGGCUAAUACCCUCGAGGAAGGACAUCACCCACAGAAGAAGCACCGGCUAACUCCGUGCCAGCAGCCGCGGUAAUACGGAGGGUGCGAGCGUUAAUCGGAAUUACUGGGCGUAAAGCGCGCGUAGGCGGUCUGAUAAGCCGGUUGUGAAAGCCCCGGGCGCAACCUGGGAACGGCAUCCGGAACUGUCAGGCUAGAGUGCAGUGGAGGAAGGUAGAAUUCCCGGUGUAGCGGUGAAAUGCGUAGAGAUCGGGAGGAAUACCAGUGGCGAAGGCGGCCUUCUGGACUGACACUGACGCUGAGGUGCGAAAGCGUGGGUAGCAAACAGGAUUAGAUACCCGAGUAGUC